UACGAAGGGGGCUAGCGUUGCUCGGAAUUACUGGGCGUAAAGGGAGCGUAGGCGGACUGUUAAGUUAGAGGUGAAAGCCCAGGGCUCAACCUUGGAAUUGCCUUUGAUACUGGCAGUCUUGAGUACGGAAGAGGUAUGUGGAACUCCGAGUGUAGAGGUGAAAUUCGUAGAUAUUCGGAAGAACACCAGUGGCGAAGGCGGCUCACUGGACCGGCAUUGACGCUGAGGUGCGAAAGCGUGGGGAGCAAACAGGAUUAGAAACCCGUAC
Molecule: ribosomal RNA, 268 nt
Filed under: uncultured bacterium
Lineage: Bacteria
Description: partial 16S ribosomal RNA
Rfam family: Bacterial small subunit ribosomal RNA
Source: RNAcentral